RNAcentral lists this transfer RNA (67 nucleotides) under Marmota monax (woodchuck). Its description in RNAcentral is "tRNA.Ala". Lineage: Eukaryota; Metazoa; Chordata; Mammalia; Rodentia; Sciuridae. The record is from RNAcentral.
GAGUAUAGCUCAGUGGUAGAGGUCAUGCUUAGCAUGCAUGAGGCCUGGGUUUCAAUCCCCAGCACCA